RNAcentral lists this ribosomal RNA (1401 nucleotides) under uncultured bacterium. Its description in RNAcentral is "bacterial SSU rRNA". It matches the Rfam family "Bacterial small subunit ribosomal RNA". The record is from RNAcentral.
AGAGUUUGAUCCUGGCUCAGAUUGAACUCUGGCGGCAGGCCUAACACAUGCAAGUCGAACGGUAACAGGAAGAAGCUUGCUUCUUUGCUGACGAGUGGCGGACGGGUGAGUAAUGUCUGGGAAACUGCCUGAUGGAGGGGGAUAACUACUGGAAACGGUAGCUAAUACCGCAUAACGUCGCAAGACCAAAGAGGGGGACCUUCGGGCCUCUUGCCAUCGGAUGUGCCCAGAUGGGAUUAGCUUGUUGGUGGGGUAACGGCUCACCAAGGCGACGAUCCCUAGCUGGUCUGAGAGGAUGACCAGCCACACUGGAACUGAGACACGGUCCAGACUCCUACGGGAGGCAGCAGUGGGGAAUAUUGCACAAUGGGCGCAAGCCUGAUGCAGCCAUGCCGCGUGUAUGAAGAAGGCCUUCGGGUUGUAAAGUACUUUCAGCGGGGAGGAAGGGAGUAAAGUUAAUACCUUUGCUCAUUGACGUUACCCGCAGAAGAAGCACCGGCUAACUCCGUGCCAGCAGCCGCGGUAAUACGGAGGGUGCAAGCGUUAAUCGGAAUUACUGGGCGUAAAGCGCACGCAGGCGGUUUGUUAAGUCAGAUGUGAAAUCCCCGGGCUCAACCUGGGAACUGCAUCUGAUACUGGCAAGCUUGAGUCUCGUAGAGGGGGGUAGAAUUCCAGGUGUAGCGGUGAAAUGCGUAGAGAUCUGGAGGAAUACCGGUGGCGAAGGCGGCCCCCUGGACGAAGACUGACGCUCAGGUGCGAAAGCGUGGGGAGCAAACAGGAUUAGAUACCCUGGUAGUCCACGCCGUAAACGAUGUCGACUUGGAGGUUGUGCCCUUGAGGCGUGGCUUCCGGAGCUAACGCGUUAAGUCGACCGCCUGGGGAGUACGGCCGCAAGGUUAAAACUCAAAUGAAUUGACGGGGGCCCGCACAAGCGGUGGAGCAUGUGGUUUAAUUCGAUGCAACGCGAAGAACCUUACCUGGUCUUGACAUCCACAGAACUUUCCAGAGAUGGAUUGGUGCCUUCGGGAACUGUGAGACAGGUGCUGCAUGGCUGUCGUCAGCUCGUGUUGUGAAAUGUUGGGUUAAGUCCCGCAACGAGCGCAACCCUUAUCCUUUGUUGCCAGCGGUCCGGCCGGGAACUCAAAGGAGACUGCCAGUGAUAAACUGGAGGAAGGUGGGGAUGACGUCAAGUCAUCAUGGCCCUUACGACCAGGGCUACACACGUGCUACAAUGGCGCAUACAAAGAGAAGCGACCUCGCGAGAGCAAGCGGACCUCAUAAAGUGCGUCGUAGUCCGGAUUGGAGUCUGCAACUCGACUCCAUGAAGUCGGAAUCGCUAGUAAUCGUGGAUCAGAAUGCCACGGUGAAUACGUUCCCGGGCCUUGCACUCACCGCCCGUCA